Molecule: ribosomal RNA, 752 nt
Filed under: uncultured Lactobacillus sp.
Lineage: Bacteria; Bacillati; Bacillota; Bacilli; Lactobacillales; Lactobacillaceae
Description: bacterial SSU rRNA
Rfam family: Bacterial small subunit ribosomal RNA
Source: RNAcentral
CGAACGCUGGCGGCAUGCCUAAUACAUGCAAGUCGAACGAGCUUCCGUUGAUUGACGUGCUUGCACUGAUUUCAACAUUGAAGCGAGUGGCGAACUGGUGAGUAACACGUGGGAAAUCUGCCCAGAAGCAGGGGAUAACACUUGGAAACAGGUGCUAAUACCGUAUAACAACAAAAACCGCAUGGUUUUUGUUUGAAAGGUGGCUUCGGCUAUCACUUCUGGAUGAUCCCGCGGCGUAUUAGUUAGUUGGUGAGGUAAAGGCCCACCAAGACAAUGAUACGUAGCCGACCUGAGAGGGUAAUCGGCCACAUUGGGACUGAGACACGGCCCAAACUCCUACGGGAGGCAGCAGUAGGGAAUCUUCCACAAUGGACGAAAGUCUGAUGGAGCAAUGCCGCGUGAGUGAAGAAGGGUUUCGGCUCGUAAAACUCUGUUGUUAAAGAAGAACACUUCUGAGAGUAACUGUUCAGAAGUUGACGGUAUUUAACCAGAAAGCCACGGCUAACUACGUGCCAGCAGCCGCGGUAAUACGUAGGUGGCAAGCGUUGUCCGGAUUUAUUGGGCGUAAAGCGAGCGCAGGCGGUUUUUUAAGUCUGAUGUGAAAGCCUUCGGCUUAACCGGAGAAGUGCAUCGGAAACUGGGAAACUUGAGUGCAGAAAAAGACAGUGGAACUCCAUGUGUAGCGGUGGAAUGCGUAGAUAUAUGGAAGAACACCAGUGGCGAAAGCGGCUGUCUAGUCUGUAACUGACCCU